CCUAUCAGCUUUAGACGGUAGGGUAUUGGCCUACCGUGGCUAUGACGGGUAACGGGGAAUUAGGGUUCGAUUCCGGAGAGGGAGCCUGAGAAACGGCUACCACAUCUAAGGAAGGCAGCAGGCGCGCAAAUUACCCAAUCCUAAUACAGGGAGGUAGUGACAAGAAAUAACAAUACAGAACCUUACGGUUUUGUAAUUGGAAUGAGUUAAGUAUAAACCCCUUAACAAGUAUCAAUUGGAGGGCAAGUCUGGUGCCAGCAGCCGCGGUAAUUCCAGCUCCAAUAGCGUAUAUUAAAGUUGUUGCAGUUAAAAAGCUCGUAGUUAAUCUUCUGUUAAUUUUUAUAUAUAAUAUCACGAUAUUUAUAUAAUAUUAACAUAAUUCAUAUUACUUUUUAGUAUAUGAAACUUUACUUUGAGAAAAUUAGAGUGCUUAAAGCAGGCUAUUGCCUUGAAUACUCCAGCAUGGAAUAAUAUUAAGG
Molecule: ribosomal RNA, 479 nt
Filed under: Cryptosporidium bovis
Lineage: Eukaryota; Apicomplexa; Conoidasida; Eucoccidiorida; Cryptosporidiidae
Description: SSU rRNA
Rfam family: Eukaryotic small subunit ribosomal RNA
Source: RNAcentral